UACGUAGGGUGCGAGCGUUAAUCGGAAUUACUGGGCGUAAAGCGUGCGCAGGCGGUUUUGUAAGGCAGAUGUGAAAUCCCCGGGCUUAACCUGGGAAUGGCAUUUGGGACUGCAAGGCUGGAGUUUGGCAGAGGAGACUGGAAUUCCUGGUGUAGCAGUGAAAUGCGUAGAUAUCAGGAGGAAUACCGAUGGCGAAGGCAGGUCUCUGGGCUAUAACUGACGCUCAUGCACGAAAGCGUGGGGAGCAAACAGG
This 253-nucleotide ribosomal RNA is filed under the name uncultured bacterium. Its description in RNAcentral is "partial 16S ribosomal RNA". It matches the Rfam family "Bacterial small subunit ribosomal RNA", at positions 524 to 776 of the family's 1533-position model. The record is from RNAcentral.